Molecule: long non-coding RNA, 981 nt
Filed under: Pan troglodytes (chimpanzee)
Lineage: Eukaryota; Metazoa; Chordata; Mammalia; Primates; Hominidae
Description: lincRNA
Rfam family: Deleted in lymphocytic leukemia 1 conserved region 2 (bases 517-858)
Source: RNAcentral
GCACAUGCGCAGAAUCAUCGUGGUGCACGGCUCUCCCUUUGCUUCUUCGGUUGCAGUCCUCUUGCUUCUUGCGCGUGCGUGUAGCGCUUUUGCAAAGCCGCGGAGGUGAAGUGAACUUAGAGGCUGUGGGGCCGAGGGGUCCUCUUAUAGCUACCAGCCCACAGGCAUUUAGUCUACGUUGGAGGUAAACAAAUACGGGUCCAGCUUAGGAGAAAAGAAAAACGUCUUACAGCCAGUGUCUAAACUCCAAACAACGGAAUGUAUCAAUGAGACCUUGUAUAUGGAUACACGUGCAUUUAAAACCGCCCUGCCGGCUUGUAGAGCUCUUGCCGUUCUCCAGCGCUUUACAGGGGUUAUCGCACUUCAGCCUCGGAACAACUUUACCAGUGAUUCUACCAGAAAGGAAUGAAGAACAGAACCUUCAGGAAUUGAGUCACAAUGCAGACAAAUAUCAAAUGGGAGAUUGUUGCAAGGAAGAGAUUGAUGAUAGUAUUUUCUACUAGCCGUUGGGAAGAUAAAAGGAGACAGAAGAUUGAAGCCUUUGCCAGCCAUUCUUUCCCUUUUUGCUUCCAAACUCCUCAACUGGGAACCUUCAUAUGUGCAGUAUUUAUAUUGGAUCAUACUGGUGAUUAUAAAAGUUCCUAGGAGGCUAGAAGAGCCAACCAACAGAGAAGGGAAAGCAGUCUGUUCUGAACAUAGGGACAUAAGUUCAUUCAUGCCAAGUAUCUUUCCAGCAUGUUUCUCCCAUUUAGAAUAUCUAGCAUGUAAGGCCUUUCAAGAUUAAUAUAAGCCCAAUAUCAGCUCUUUCUCUUUGUAUUUCAUCUCUUUCUACUCUCCUAUUUGUAUUUUGUGUUCCUAUCAAAGUGUCAUAUCUGGGAGAUGACCUGCCUUAUCCUGUUCUAUAACAGUUUUGUUUGCUGCUGUGUCUUUAGAACAGUGCCUGGCACACAGUAAGCACUCAAUAAAUCUUUGAUGAAUGAA